AUGCUCGCUUCGGCAGCACAUAUACUAAGAUUGGAACAAUACAGAGAAGAUUAUCAUGGCCCCUGUGCAAGGAUGACAUGCAAAUUCAUGGGGCAUUUCAUAUUUUU
Molecule: small nuclear RNA, 107 nt
Filed under: Propithecus coquereli (Coquerel's sifaka)
Lineage: Eukaryota; Metazoa; Chordata; Mammalia; Primates; Indriidae
Source: RNAcentral